GACGAACGCUGGCGGCGUGCUUAACACAUGCAAGUCGAACGGAAAGGCCCUGCUUUUGUGGGGUGCUCGAGUGGCGAACGGGUGAGUAACACGUGAGUAACCUGCCCUUGACUUUGGGAUAACUUCAGGAAACUGGGGCUAAUACCGGAUAGGAGCUCCUGCUGCAUGGUGGGGGUUGGAAAGUUUCGGCGGUUGGGGAUGGACUCGCGGCUUAUCAGCUUGUUGGGGGGGUAGUGGCUUACCAAGGCUUUGACGGGUAGCCGGCCUGGGAGGGUGACCGGCCACCUUGGGACUGAGAUACGGCCCAGACUCCUACGGGAGGCAGCAGGGGGGAAUAUUGCACAAUGGGCGGAAGCCUGAUGCAGCAACGCCGCGUGCGGGAUGACGUCCUUCGGGUUGUAAACCGCUUUCGCCUGUGACGAAGCGUGAGUGACGGUAAUGGGUAAAGAAGCACCGGCUAACUACGUG
RNAcentral lists this ribosomal RNA (468 nucleotides) under uncultured bacterium. Its description in RNAcentral is "partial 16S ribosomal RNA". It matches the Rfam family "Bacterial small subunit ribosomal RNA", at positions 28 to 507 of the family's 1533-position model. The record is from RNAcentral.